GGGACACGUGGUAUCCUGUCUGAAUAUGGGGGGACCAUCCUCCAAGGCUAAAUACUCCUGACUGACCGAUAGUGAACCAGUACCGUGAGGGAAAGGCGAAAAGAACCCCGGCGAGGGGAGUGAAAAAGAACCUGAAACCGUGUACGUACAAGCAGUGGGAGCACGCUUAGGCGUGUGACUGCGUACCUUUUGUAUAAUGGGUCAGCGACUUAUAUUCUGUAGCAAGGUUAACCGAAUAGGGGAGCCGAAGGGAAACCGAGUCUUAACUGGGCGUUAAGUUGCAGGGUAUAGACCCGAAACCCGGUGAUCUAGCCAUGGGCAGGUUGAAGGUUGGGUAACACUAACUGGAGGACCGAACCGACUAAUGUUGAAAAAUUAGCGGAUGACUUGUGGCUGGGGGUGAAAGGCCAAUCAAACCGGGAGAUAGCUGGUUCUCCCCGAAAGCUAUUUAGGUAGCGCCUCGUGAAUUCAUCUCCGGGGGUAGAGCACUGUUUCGGCAAGGGGGUCAUCCCGACUUACCAACCCGAUGCAAACUGCGAAUACCGGAGAAUGUUAUCACGGGAGACACACGGCGGGUGCUAACGUCCGUCGUGAAGA
This 597-nucleotide ribosomal RNA is filed under the name Escherichia coli. Its description in RNAcentral is "partial 23S ribosomal RNA". It matches the Rfam family "Bacterial large subunit ribosomal RNA", at positions 419 to 1016 of the family's 2925-position model. The record is from RNAcentral. Lineage: Bacteria; Pseudomonadati; Pseudomonadota; Gammaproteobacteria; Enterobacterales; Enterobacteriaceae.